RNAcentral lists this ribosomal RNA (491 nucleotides) under uncultured bacterium. RNAcentral's name for it is "bacterial SSU rRNA". It matches the Rfam family "Bacterial small subunit ribosomal RNA", at positions 903 to 1397 of the family's 1533-position model. The record is from RNAcentral.
AAAUGAAUAGACGGGGGCCCGCACAAGCAGUGGAGUAUGUGGUUUAAUUCGAAGCAACGCGAAGAACCUUACCAGGGCUUGACAUAAUACUGAAUAUAGUAGAGAUACUAUAGUCCUUCGGGACAGUAUUACAGGUGGUGCAUGGUUGUCGUCAGCUCGUGUCGUGAGAUGUUGGGUUAAGUCCCGCAACGAGCGCAACCCCUGUUGCUAGUUGGCAUCAUUAAGUUGGCCACUCUAGCGAGACUGCCGGUGACAAAUCGGAGGAAGGUGGGGACGACGUCAAAUCAUCAUGCCCCUUAUGUCCUGGGCUACACACGUACUACAAUGGCUGUUACAGAGGGUAGCGAAGCAGCAAUGCGGAGCCAAUCCCCAAAAACAGUCCCAGUUCGGAUUGUGGGCUGCAACUCGCCCACAUGAAGUCGGAAUUGCUAGUAAUGGCAGGUCAGCAUACUGCCGUGAAUACGUUCCCGGGCCUUGUACACACCGCCCGU